UACGAAGGGUGCAAGCGUUACUCGGAAUUACUGGGCGUAAAGCGUGCGUAGGUGGUCGUUUAAGUCUGUCGUGAAAGCCCUGGGCUCAACCUGGGAAUUGCGAUGGAUACUGGGCGACUAGAGUGUGGUAGAGGAUAGUGGAAUUUCCGGUGUAGCAGUGAAAUGCGUAGAGAUCGGAAGGAACAUCUGUGGCGAAGGCGACUAUCUGGGCCAACACUGACACUGGGGCACGAAAGCGUGGGGAGCAAACAGGAUUAGAUACCCUUGUAGU
Molecule: ribosomal RNA, 271 nt
Filed under: uncultured bacterium
Lineage: Bacteria
Description: partial 16S ribosomal RNA
Rfam family: Bacterial small subunit ribosomal RNA
Source: RNAcentral